AGAGUUUGAUCCUGGCUCAGGACGAACGCUGGCGGCGUGCUUAACACAUGCAAGUCGAGCGGUAAGGCCUUUCGGGGUACACGAGCGGCGAACGGGUGAGUAACACGUGGGUGAUCUGCCCUGCACUUCGGGAUAAGCCUGGGAAACUGGGUCUAAUACCGGAUAUGACCUCCUAUCGCAUGGUGGGUGGUGGAAAGAUUUAUCGGUGCAGGAUGGGCCCGCGGCCUAUCAGCUUGUUGGUGGGGUAAUGGCCUACCAAGGCGACGACGGGUAGCCGACCUGAGAGGGUGACCGGCCACACUGGGACUGAGACACGGCCCAGACUCCUACGGGAGGCAGCAGUGGGGAAUAUUGCACAAUGGGCGAAAGCCUGAUGCAGCGACGCCGCGUGAGGGAUGACGGCCUUCGGGUUGUAAACCUCUUUCAGCAGGGACGAAGCGCAAGUGACGGUACCUGCAGAAGAAGCACCGGCUAACUACGUGCCAGCAGCCGCGGUAAU
Molecule: ribosomal RNA, 499 nt
Filed under: uncultured Rhodococcus sp.
Lineage: Bacteria; Bacillati; Actinomycetota; Actinomycetes; Mycobacteriales; Nocardiaceae
Description: bacterial SSU rRNA
Rfam family: Bacterial small subunit ribosomal RNA
Source: RNAcentral